AGUGCUGAGCCCAAGGGCCAGGCUGUCCCCAGGGGCGGAGAGUUGCGGGCCCUUCCCGAUCCGGUAAUGGGCCUGGGAGAUGCCAGAUUAGCGUGGUGCCUGUCCGGAGAGACGGGCCAGCUGAUGCCCAGGUCGGGGCCCUGUCGCUGGCCACACUGGGCUCCGGUCCAAGGCUAGAAGGCUGGCCCCUGCUGCAACCCCUCUCCGGCUCCUCUGCCACCCACCUCCCGGGGCUGGCCGGCUGUGGGGAGCCGGGCGGCCGCAGGAGGUGGCUGAUGCCCUGGGAGGGGGUGCGGACCCAGAAACCAACUCGACCAGCAACAGCAGCCACUCAGCCUGGGACCUGGGCAGCGCCUUCUUUUUCUCAGGGACCAUCAUCACCACCAUCGGUGGGGGAGGGGAUUGGCAUGUGGGGGGCGGCAAGGAGCUUCCUCAUGGGGGAAGGUGCAGGGAGACGGAGGGGUCCCAGGUGGCCCCUAGACUUCCUGCAUCGCCCCUCUGCCCAGGAUAUGGCAAUGUGGCCCUGCGCACAGAUGCCGGGCGCCUCUUCUGCAUCUUUUAUGCGCUGGUGGGGAUUCCGCUGUUUGGGAUCCUACUGGCAGGGGUCGGGGACCGGCUGGGCUCCUCCCUGCGCCAUGGCAUCGGUCACAUUGAAGCCAUCUUCUUGGUGAGCUGCUCCAUGCCCUGCCUGCCCUUGUGCUGGGCUCCGGCUACCCUUCCCCAUGUCCCUGGCACAUGAGCGCGCCCCCAAAGACCAUAAGCCUCUCCCACAGGCUCCUGGGGGCGGGAGUGGGGAGUAUGGGAGUGGGGAUUG
Molecule: small RNA, 814 nt
Filed under: Pan troglodytes (chimpanzee)
Lineage: Eukaryota; Metazoa; Chordata; Mammalia; Primates; Hominidae
Description: retained intron
Source: RNAcentral